RNAcentral lists this ribosomal RNA (253 nucleotides) under uncultured bacterium. Its description in RNAcentral is "partial 16S ribosomal RNA". It matches the Rfam family "Bacterial small subunit ribosomal RNA", at positions 524 to 776 of the family's 1533-position model. The record is from RNAcentral.
UACGAAGGGGGCUAGCGUUGUUCGGAAUCACUGGGCGUAAAGCGCACGUAGGCGGAUUGUUAAGUCGGGGGUGAAAUCCUGAGGCUCAACCUCAGAACUGCCUUCGAUACUGGCAAUCUCGAGUCCGGGAGAGGUGAGUGGAACUGCGAGUGUAGAGGUGAAAUUCGUAGAUAUUCGCAAGAACACCAGUGGCGAAGGCGGCUCACUGGCCCGGUACUGACGCUGAGGUGCGAAAGCGUGGGGAGCAAACAGG